AGGGAGAAAAGCUGGGCUGAGAGGCGACUGGUGUCUAAUCUGUCUCUCCAACUCAGACUGCCUGGCCCA
Molecule: microRNA precursor, 69 nt
Organism: Gorilla gorilla gorilla (western lowland gorilla)
Lineage: Eukaryota; Metazoa; Chordata; Mammalia; Primates; Hominidae
Source: Ensembl